AGCCACCUCCAAACACCCCCCUCUCUCAAGCUCUCUCGAAGGUUCUUGAAACCCUAGCCUCACUCACCAUCUUAAACCACAAUCUCACCAGAAUCCAUGGACUCUCCGGUCAUGGAUGGCUUGAACCCAUCUCUCUCUGCUUUUAAACUGUUGGUGCUAAAAGUUUCAAGGUCUGACCUCAAUGGUGUCCGUUUAGAUCUUCUCUGAUUAAUGGUUCGGACCUCUCCGACCUUGCUCCGGUGUAUCCAAGCAUUAUGAGCCUAUCUCUAAUCUUUUCGACCAAGAUUGGACCUUUUCAAAGCCUUUCUCAUUUUAGGGUUCUUCUGAAACCCUAGCUACUUGAGGUUUUCAAUGAUUUUACUUAGAUUUGUUAUAUAUCUGUGCGCUACUGGAGUUUUUCUUAACACUUUUCCCCAAUUUUUCUUUCAAAAUUAUCCUUUAAAAU
Molecule: long non-coding RNA, 445 nt
Filed under: Nicotiana benthamiana
Lineage: Eukaryota; Viridiplantae; Streptophyta; Magnoliopsida; Solanales; Solanaceae
Description: long non-coding RNA (NBEN_LNC011627)
Source: RNAcentral